Equus quagga is the source of this 444-nucleotide long non-coding RNA. RefSeq lists it as uncharacterized. The transcript is spliced from 2 exons. Lineage: Eukaryota; Metazoa; Chordata; Mammalia; Perissodactyla; Equidae. The record is from RefSeq and is a predicted model, not a curated record.
GAACUAAAACCUCACUGGCUAGAAGAUGAAUUCAGAGAACGAGACUAAGAAGGAGGAUUCAAAGAAGCAGGAGAAUGCCACGGGUCAUGGCGGCCAUUGAACUGACACAAUUUCUGCAGAGUCCAGAUCAUCAUUUUGCCUGUCUUGUUGAAGAAGUCUUUUUUUUUUUGAGGAAGAUUAGCCCUGAGCUAACAUCUGUCACCAAUCCUCCUCUUUUUGCUGAGGAAGACUGGCCCUGAACUAAAGUCUGUGCCCAUCUUCCUCUCCUUUAUAUGUGGGACACCUGCCACAGCAUGGCUUGACAAGUGCCAUGUCCGCACCUGGGAUCAGAACAAGCAAACCCUGGGCCACUGAAGUGGAACGUAUGAACUUAACCGCUGUGCCAACAGACUGGCCCAAGAAGUCUAUAUUUUUAAGCUUCCCAUAAUAAACAAUUUAUAGCGA